AACGAACGCUGGCGGCGCGUCUUAAACAUGCAAGUCGAACGGCAAGAGAAAAGCUUGCUUUUCUCCUAGAGUGGCGGACUGGUGAGUAACACGUGGGUGACAUACCUUUUAGUUGGGGAUAGCUGUUAGAAAUAGCAGGUAAUACCGAAUGUGACCGCAUCUGUUAGAGAGGUGCGAGGAAAGGAGCUAAGGCUCCGCUAGAAGAAUGGCUCGCGGCCCAUUAGCUAGUUGGUGAGGUAACGGCCCACCAAGGCAAUGAUGGGUAUCCGGCCUGAGAGGGUGAACGGACACAUUGGGACUGAGAUACGGCCCAGACUUCUACGGGAGGCAGCAGUUAAGAAUAUUCCGCAAUGGACGAAAGUCUGACGGAGCGACGCCCGCGUGGAUGAAGAAAUGCCCGAAAAGGGUUGUAAAAUCCCUUUUAAAGCCCUG
This 432-nucleotide ribosomal RNA is filed under the name Treponema sp. oral taxon 490. RNAcentral describes it as "bacterial SSU rRNA". It matches the Rfam family "Bacterial small subunit ribosomal RNA", at positions 29 to 447 of the family's 1533-position model. Lineage: Bacteria; Pseudomonadati; Spirochaetota; Spirochaetia; Treponematales; Treponemataceae. The record is from RNAcentral.